Molecule: long non-coding RNA, 1209 nt
Organism: Photinus pyralis (common eastern firefly)
Lineage: Eukaryota; Metazoa; Arthropoda; Insecta; Coleoptera; Lampyridae
Exons: 2
Source: RefSeq, a predicted model, not a curated record
UGUGUCCGUUCUCAAACUCGAACAUAGGGAUUUAACAUGGAGUUGAACGUUUUUGCGGAUUUCUGCUCGCCAACUUAUUCUACAGAAAAGCGGUGUUAGUUUGCGAAGAGUUCGAGAUUUGUUUGCCGUUGCGUUUAAUACGAGACCGAUACCAUCAGCAAGUACCAUACAAAAAUAUGUAGAAAAAUUUGAAAAUCAGGCAAAUAUUUCAGUAGAAUCAGAAAGUAGGGGAGGUGAGCAUUACAAAUUUUAUUUUAAAACAUGUUCUAAAAUGACAUCAUAUCAUAGGAUAUCGACAAGGGGAUGACCGCACAGAAGAGCAAGUUUUGGCGAUGAUAAAUGCAGACCCAACGUACAGUUUGAGGCAAAUUUCCCAUGAAACUGGUUUAUGUAAGUCGCGGGUAUGGAUGAUAUUAAAGAAAUACAAAUAUCACCCUUAUAAACCACAAUGUCAUCAAGAGAUUUUUUAUGUUGACGAAGAAAGUAGGAGUGCAUUUUGUUAUGAGAUACAAGAGCGCGCUAACAACGAUCGCCGCUUUCUAUCGUCGAUAUGCUUCACAGACGAGUGUACCUUUACCCUCAAUAAUGAACCCAAUGUUCAAAACACACGUCAUUGGGCUCAGGAAAACCCUAGGCUUAAUAUUUCAACCAGAACUCAGUAUCCUCAAAAAAUUAAUAUCUGGGCUGGGAUUUUUAAUCAUAAUAUUAUCGGCCCAUUUGAAAUUGAAGGAAACUUAAAUUCAGAAACCUAUUUAGAUCUUUUGGUAACAAAGGUAGGACCCGCAUUGGAAGACGUUGCAAGAGAAAAUCAGGAGAUCUGGUUCCAACAAGACGGCUGUCCUGCGCAUUUUGGUUUAAACGUUAGACAUUUUUUAAAUAAUUCAUUUCCAAAUCAUUGGAUUGGUAGAAGUGGUACCAUAAAUUGGCCAGCCAGAUCUCCAGAUUUGGCACCUUGCGACUUCUUCUUGUGGGGACACCUUAAAAGUAAAAUUUAUAAAAGACGCCACCCAGAUAUUAAUUCUUUGAGAGAAGCUAUAGUUACUGAAUGCGCGUUAAUUACUAACAGGGAGUUAGCGAAUGUGCGAAAUAGUUUUUACAACCGACUGGGAUAUUGCUUAGCUCAAAACGGGGGGUUAUUUGAAUAUUUACUUUAAUUUGUUUUUCCUUACUAGUAUUUUUGUGUAUUUUUAAUAAAAAUCGUUCGAAGCC